GCGGAUGUGGCGAAACUGGUAGACGCACCAGAUUUAGGUUCUGGCAUCGAGAGAUGUGGAGGUUCGAGUCCUCUCAUCCGCACCA
This 85-nucleotide transfer RNA is filed under the name Brevundimonas staleyi. RNAcentral describes it as "tRNA-Leu". It matches the Rfam family "tRNA". From Rfam's summary of the family: Transfer RNA (tRNA) molecules are approximately 80 nucleotides in length. Their secondary structure includes four short double-helical elements and three loops (D, anti-codon, and T loops). The record is from RNAcentral. RNAcentral also lists the same sequence under 3 other names. Lineage: Bacteria; Pseudomonadati; Pseudomonadota; Alphaproteobacteria; Caulobacterales; Caulobacteraceae.